RNAcentral lists this ribosomal RNA (489 nucleotides) under uncultured bacterium. Its description in RNAcentral is "bacterial SSU rRNA". It matches the Rfam family "Bacterial small subunit ribosomal RNA", at positions 29 to 525 of the family's 1533-position model. The record is from RNAcentral.
AGUGAACGCUGGCGGCGUGCUUUACACAUGCAAGUCGAACGAGAACGGGUUUUAGCUUGCUAAAACUGUCAGCUAAGUGGCGAAUGGGUGAGUAAUACAUAGAUAACAUGCCCCUUAGAGAGGGAUAACCAUUAGAAAUGAUGGCUAAUACCUCAUAAGCUAAUAUACAUAAGUAUAUUAGGAAAAGGUUAAUUCUGCUAAGGGAUUGGUUUAUGACCUAUCAGCUAGUUGGUGAGGUAAGAGCUUACCAAGGCGAUGACGGGUAGCUGGUCUGAGAGGAUGAACAGCCACACCGGGAACUGAGACACGGGUCCGGACUCCUACGGGAGGCAGCAGUGGGGAAUAUUGCACAAUGGGGGGAACCCUGAUGCAGCAACGCCGCGUGGAGGAUGAAGCAUUUAGGUGUGUAAACUCCUUUUAACAAGGAAGAAGUUGACGGUACUUGUUGAAUAAGCACCGGCUAACUCCGUGCCAGCAGCCGCGGUAAUU